RNAcentral lists this small nuclear RNA (110 nucleotides) under Suricata suricatta (meerkat). Its description in RNAcentral is "U4 spliceosomal RNA (ENSSSUG00005020113.1)". It matches the Rfam family "U4 spliceosomal RNA". From Rfam's summary of the family: U4 small nuclear RNA (U4 snRNA) is a component of the major U2-dependent spliceosome. The structure of U4 snRNA from yeast and human has been reported. Lineage: Eukaryota; Metazoa; Chordata; Mammalia; Carnivora; Herpestidae. The record is from Rfam by way of RNAcentral.
AGCUUUGCGCAGUGGCAGUAUCGUAGCCAAUGAGGUUUAUCCGAGGCGCGAUUAUUGCUAAUUGAAAACUUUUCUCAAGUUCCCUGGAACUCAGUAGCCUUAACAAAAGG